GACAGCGUGUCCGAGUGGUUAAGGAGGUGGACUUGAAAUCCGUUAGGCUCAGCCUGCGCAGGUUCGAAUCCUGCCGCUGUCG
This 82-nucleotide transfer RNA is filed under the name Perkinsus olseni. RNAcentral's name for it is "tRNA-Ser". It matches the Rfam family "tRNA". From Rfam's summary of the family: Transfer RNA (tRNA) molecules are approximately 80 nucleotides in length. Their secondary structure includes four short double-helical elements and three loops (D, anti-codon, and T loops). Lineage: Eukaryota; Perkinsozoa; Perkinsida; Perkinsidae. The record is from RNAcentral.